AUCAAAGUUUGAUUCUUGCUUUCUAUAUACUUUAGUAAUAAAGAACAUAUUUAAAUCUUUGUAGGACAAAAGACUAUUUGUUUAAAUAUCUAAUAGUGUAAAAAAUUUAAAAUAAUAAAUAAAGUCGAAGUGUGAGAUAUUAAUAUUAUGAUUGAAAAAUUGAAUUAGUAAUUAUUUUUAGCUCUGACUAAAAAUUUGUGCCAGCAGUCGCGGUUAUACUUAGAGAGUGAGUAUAUAAGUGUUGAUUAUUAGUUAAGUUAAUAUAUUUAAAAUUUUCUUAUCUGAGUUAAUAAAAGGUGAAAUUAGUUUAUUAAAUAUUAGUUAAAAAAGUUUUUAUUAUAUGCUGAGGCUAUUUAAUUUAUGGGAUAAACUAGGAUUAGAUACCCUAUUAUACAUAAGUUUAAUAAUAAAAUAUCAGAUUAUUUUUAGUUAUGUUCUUAAAAAUCAAAGAACUUGGCGGUACUUUAGUCUUGUUAGAGGAACCUGUUUUAUAAGUGAUAAUCCACGUAGUAUCUUGCUUAAUCUUGUUUGUCAGUAUGUAUACCGUCAUUAUUAGAUAAUUCUUAUAGGAAUGAAUUAUUAAAAUAAUUUAAAUAAUUAAGAUAUUAGAUCAAGGUGCAGCUAAUGGUUAAGUAAAAAUGGGUUACAAUAAUUUAUAAUUAUAUGGAUUAAUUGUUGAAUAAUAGUUAUGAAGGUGGAUUUAAUUGUAAUUUUUAUUUUAAUAAGGAGAAGUGAUAAUAGCUCUAGAUUAUGUACAUAUCGCCCGUCGCUUUCACUACAAGGUGAAAUAAGUCGUAACAUAGUAGGUGUACUGGAAAGUGUACCUAGA
This 829-nucleotide non-coding RNA is filed under the name Upogebia major. The record is from RNAcentral. Lineage: Eukaryota; Metazoa; Arthropoda; Malacostraca; Decapoda; Upogebiidae.